GACAAUGUGAGGCAGGUCGGGAAGAGGAAGAGAAGAGGGCCUUAGAGCAGUGGGAGUGGGAACAUGGAGGAAAGCCUGACUUGCUUUGUUUUCACCUCAAGUGUUGGAGGUGAGAACUUGGUUUGGUGCUUUCCGAUGCCUCCCAUUCCUAUUGUUCUCGAGCACUCGUUCCUCUUCCCUUUUGGCUCGCUCAGUU
RNAcentral lists this microRNA precursor (196 nucleotides) under Brachypodium distachyon (stiff brome). RNAcentral describes it as "miR2118a stem-loop (bdi-MIR2118a)". The stretch from base 16 to 186 matches the Rfam family "MIR2118 microRNA precursor family". The record is from miRBase by way of RNAcentral. Lineage: Eukaryota; Viridiplantae; Streptophyta; Magnoliopsida; Poales; Poaceae.